Volvox carteri f. nagariensis is the source of this 73-nucleotide transfer RNA. It matches the Rfam family "tRNA". Rfam says of the family: Transfer RNA (tRNA) molecules are approximately 80 nucleotides in length. Lineage: Eukaryota; Viridiplantae; Chlorophyta; Chlorophyceae; Chlamydomonadales; Volvocaceae. The record is from Rfam.
GGUCCUAUGGCUUAACGGAUAAAGCGCCGGUCUACGGAACCGGAGAUUCCAGGUUCGAUCCCUGGUAGGAUCG